Molecule: non-coding RNA, 66 nt
Filed under: marine eukaryotic metagenome
Description: SAM riboswitch (alpha-proteobacteria)
Rfam family: Alpha-proteobacteria SAM riboswitch aptamer
About the family: This family is a riboswitch found predominantly in alpha-proteobacteria that binds S-adenosyl methionine (SAM). This SAM riboswitch is located upstream of the metA and metC genes in Agrobacterium tumefaciens, and other methionine and SAM biosynthesis genes in other alpha-proteobacteria.
Source: RNAcentral
AUCGUGGUGAUUUGUUCGACCGGAUUGCGACCACGUUAAAUAAACAAGCUAAAAGGUCGGAGCGAA